This 253-nucleotide ribosomal RNA is filed under the name uncultured bacterium. RNAcentral's name for it is "partial 16S ribosomal RNA". It matches the Rfam family "Bacterial small subunit ribosomal RNA", at positions 524 to 776 of the family's 1533-position model. The record is from RNAcentral.
UACAGAGGGUGCGAGCGUUGUCCGGAAUUACUGGGCGUAAAGGGCGCGUAGGCGGCCCGAUAAGUCGGGGGUGAAAGUCAGCGGCUCAACCGCUGGACUGCCUUCGAGACUGUUAGGCUUGAGCAUGGUAGAGGCUGGCGGAAUUCCCGGUGUAGCGGUGGAAUGCGUAGAGAUCGGGAAGAACAUCGGUGGCGAAGGCGGCCAGCUGGGCCAUUGCUGACGCUGAGGCGCGACAGCGUGGGGAGCAAACAGG